This 395-nucleotide ribosomal RNA is filed under the name uncultured bacterium. RNAcentral's name for it is "bacterial SSU rRNA". It matches the Rfam family "Bacterial small subunit ribosomal RNA", at positions 975 to 1368 of the family's 1533-position model. The record is from RNAcentral.
CAGGCCUUGACAUGUCCAGUUUGAUCGCCAGAGAUGGCUUUCUUCACUUCGGGUGGCUGGAACACAGGUGCUGCAUGGCUGUCGUCAGCUCGUGUCGUGAGAUGUUGGGUUAAGUCCCGCAACGAGCGCAACCCUCGUCCUUAGUUGCCAUCAUUAAGUUGGGAACUCUAAGGAAACUGCCUAUGAUAAGUAGGAGGAAGGUGGGGACGACGUCAAGUCAUCAUGGCCCUUACGGCCUGGGCUACACACGUGCUACAAUGGUAGUGACAAUGGGCAGCGAACUCGCGAGGGUAAGCUAAUCCCUAAAAACUAUCUCAGUUCGGAUUGUACUCUGCAACUCGAGUACAUGAAGUUGGAAUCGCUAGUAAUCGUAGAUCAGCAUGCUACGGUGAAUA